Molecule: ribosomal RNA, 253 nt
Filed under: uncultured bacterium
Lineage: Bacteria
Description: partial 16S ribosomal RNA
Rfam family: Bacterial small subunit ribosomal RNA
Source: RNAcentral
UACAGAGGUCUCAAGCGUUGUUCGGAUUCAUUGGGCGUAAAGGGUGCGUAGGCGGCGCGGUAAGUCGGAUGUGAAAUCUCGGAGCUUAACUUCGAAACUGCAUUCGAUACUGCCGUGCUUGAGGACUGGAGAGGAGACUGGAAUUUACGGUGUAGCGGUGAAAUGCGUAGAUAUCGUAAGGAAGACCAGUGGCGAAGGCGGGUCUCUGGACAGUUCCUGACGCUGAGGCACGAAGGUCGGGGGAGCAAACGGG